UACGUAUGGUGCAAGCGUUAUCCGGAUUUACUGGGUGUAAAGGGAGCGUAGGCGGCGCGUUAAGUCUGAUGUGAAAACCCGAGGCUCAACCACGGGAGUGCAUUGGAAGCUGGCGGGCUGGAGUGCCGGAGAGGUAAGCGGAAUUCCUAGUGUAGCGGUGAAAUGCGUAGAUAUUAGGAGGAACACCAGUGGCGAAGGCGGCUUACUGGACGGCAACUGACGCUGAGGCUCGAAAGCGUGGGGAGCAAACAGG
Molecule: ribosomal RNA, 253 nt
Filed under: uncultured bacterium
Lineage: Bacteria
Description: partial 16S ribosomal RNA
Rfam family: Bacterial small subunit ribosomal RNA
Source: RNAcentral